This 460-nucleotide ribosomal RNA is filed under the name uncultured bacterium. Its description in RNAcentral is "bacterial SSU rRNA". It matches the Rfam family "Bacterial small subunit ribosomal RNA", at positions 28 to 507 of the family's 1533-position model. The record is from RNAcentral.
GAUGAACGCUGGCGGCGUGCUUAAUACAUGCAAGUCGAACGGAGUAUGUAGCAAUACGUACUUAGUGGCGAACGGGUGAGUAACGCGUGAGCAACCUGCCUUCACAGGGGGAUAAGGCGGCGAAAGCCGCUCUAAUACCGCAUGAGACCACGGGGAUGAUAUUCCAGGGGUCAAAGGAGCAAUCCGGUGAGAGAUGGGCUCGCGUCCGAUUAGGUAGUUGGUGAGGUAACGGCCCACCAAGCCAAUGAUCGGUAGCCGGCCUGAGAGGGUGAACGGCCACAUUGGAACUGAGAGACGGUCCAAACUCCUACGGGAGGCAGCAGUGGGGAAUAUUGGGCAAUGGGGGAAACCCUGACCCAGCAACGCCGCGUGAGGGAAGAAGGUUUUCGGAUUGUAAACCUCUGUUCUUGGAGAAGAGAAGAAGACGGUAUCCAAGGAGGAAGCACCGGCUAACUCCGUG